Molecule: small nucleolar RNA, 81 nt
Organism: Lepus europaeus (European hare)
Lineage: Eukaryota; Metazoa; Chordata; Mammalia; Lagomorpha; Leporidae
Source: RefSeq, a predicted model, not a curated record
GCCAUGAGAUGAUCUGUCCUAGCCUGACCUUGUAGAGUAAAGGCAAAAAAAAUUGAUUUAAUGAGAAAAAAAAUACCCUUG